GGACACGUGCCUGAAUUAAAGGAUCACCUUGAUAGGGUGAAUGAUAGAGGUCAAAAUCCCCUCGUUUCCU
Molecule: transfer RNA, 70 nt
Filed under: Geoemyda spengleri
Lineage: Eukaryota; Metazoa; Chordata; Testudines; Geoemydidae
Description: tRNA-Ile
Rfam family: tRNA
About the family: Transfer RNA (tRNA) molecules are approximately 80 nucleotides in length. Their secondary structure includes four short double-helical elements and three loops (D, anti-codon, and T loops).
Source: RNAcentral